Molecule: regulatory RNA element, 100 nt
Organism: Paenibacillus wynnii
Lineage: Bacteria; Bacillati; Bacillota; Bacilli; Caryophanales; Paenibacillaceae
Rfam family: Purine riboswitch aptamer
About the family: Riboswitches are metabolite binding domains within certain messenger RNAs that serve as precision sensors for their corresponding targets. Allosteric rearrangement of mRNA structure is mediated by ligand binding, and this results in modulation of gene expression.
Source: Rfam
AAGCACAACAACACAAAUAUUCGUAUAAUUUCAGGGAUUGGCCUGAAAGUUUCUACGAGGUCACCGUAAUGACCUGGCUACGAUUAAGAAGAGGAUUCCU